ACUUGAUUAGUUUAUUUUUAAAAUUUUAAAUUGUGGAUUUAAAGAAGCUAAAAGCAUUAAGUA
This 63-nucleotide transfer RNA is filed under the name Ixodes ovatus. RNAcentral's name for it is "tRNA-His". Lineage: Eukaryota; Metazoa; Arthropoda; Arachnida; Ixodida; Ixodidae. The record is from RNAcentral.